GAUUUCUGUUCAGCAGUGUCUGGCCCGUCGAGGUUCGUCCUUUGUGCGAGUGCUGACACUUCAGCUGGGCAUCCUUGUGGUCAAAUAGUUGUAUGCUUGUCAGCAAUGGCAGGUGUAUGGCUCCACAUCUUUUACUUUGAACAAAUUAGAGUGUUUCAAGCAGGCCUUUGAGCCGUGAAUACAUUAGCAUGGAAUAAUAACAUAGGACUUCUUGUCUUAUAUUUAUUGGUGUUCUCAAGCGGGAAGUAAUGAUUGAUAGGGAUAGUUGGGGGUGCUAGUAUUGAGCGGCCAGAGGUGAAAUUCUUGGAUUCGCUCAAGACUAACUUAUGCGAAAGCAUU
This 339-nucleotide ribosomal RNA is filed under the name uncultured Thaumatomonadida. RNAcentral describes it as "partial small subunit ribosomal RNA". The stretch from base 114 to 339 matches the Rfam family "Eukaryotic small subunit ribosomal RNA", at positions 734 to 955 of the family's 1831-position model. RNAcentral also lists the same sequence under 1 other name. Lineage: Eukaryota; Cercozoa; Imbricatea; Thaumatomonadida. The record is from RNAcentral.